Molecule: long non-coding RNA, 473 nt
Organism: Amblyraja radiata (thorny skate)
Lineage: Eukaryota; Metazoa; Chordata; Chondrichthyes; Rajiformes; Rajidae
Exons: 2
Source: RefSeq, a predicted model, not a curated record
ACAGUUGGGGGAAGCCGGUGAUGCAGUAGCAACGCAAAAUCACGCUGUCUCUCCGUGUGUACGCAAUGGACCCGGGCGGGUUCAGAUAUGCAUUUGCACUCCACACAAUCACCUCGAUGCCUCGUGUCUACCAAAGAUCCUCGGUGUCUACUCCAAAUGGAUGAGCUGACCUGUCAUGCUUCUCUGACGUGAAAGAAAGAAAAAAUGUUCUGCUGCAAAUGUUUCAAAUUUUGAAAGGAAAGCUUCACUGUCACAUGCCAGAAGCAGGACUUCCUUCAAAAAAAUUGACUGUCACCAAGUCUUGAGGACUAAGACAUCACAUAUCGUCUGUGCCAUCGUCCGCAUUUGAAGAAAGAACAAAGUUAUUAAUUUUGCAUAUUUCUGACUUCAGGUUGUCCUAAAAUCCAUCAGAGCCAGAGUCCUGUUUAUAGUUACAAACUGUUUAUCCUUUGCUGAAUAAAGAGAAAGUGAAA